UGCAUUUGGUUAUAAGAUUCUAAGCUUCUUAUGAAACACAAAAAUCCAUUAAAUAAUAUCAAAUAAAUAAAAAGACGUUUAAAUACCUUUAGCUUAAGUAGAAAACAAUAAAUCUUGACUUAAAAGGGUAUUGUAUUUUUCGUUUUGUACAUGUUUAGUCAUUGAAAUUUUUUUUUGUCCACAUUUUCCCGCUAAACUUGUUUUGUUGUCCAUAUCUUACCCUUAUGACUGGUUGGUGUGGGUUUAACCGGUUUCCGGCGGUCUUUGCAUUUCCGAUGAUACUCCGGUCAUCUUCUCCGACAAGUCUCUGGACAAUAUGAUUUUUCCGGCGAGUUGUAACACACAAGUAAGGUUUUGAUUUUUCAGAUUAACAACUCAAGAACACACACAACACACUAGAUUUCGAUUUCCAAAAUUAAAUACACAAACACACACCUCACUUCUUGAUCGUCGUUCUCAUUAGCCACUACUACCACCAAGCCCUUCUUCCGCCUCCCUCAUCUCUCUAUUAACAAAUCGAUUACGUUUUCUAGCUAGAUUUGUUUAUCCAAAGCAACCCAAGUCACCAUUAAAAUUGUUUACUGUUCAUUGUCUUCAACCUCCAAGUCACCAUUAAAACCGAGACCUUCACCCCCACAAACCCAGAUCCCGUCUCAAGCUAUUUCCAACAACCUCCGAUCAAACUUCAUUGAUGAGUCCUUCACUUCAAAUGAUUCCCCUUCGUUUUUCUCUGAUGGUUGAAAGUAAGCAAAAUACAAACUAUGCAGCAUAAUGUACAAGCUCGUCAAUGCAUUAUCCUCUGAACCAGCACAAUAGGAGAGAAGGAGGUUGCAAUCAAAAUCGAAGAGGGUGGGUGUCUCUUAUUCGAUCAAAAAUUCCAGAUCUAUCGAGAUCUUCUAAUGGAUCUGCCAUGGAUGAAAUCGUUUUGCUCAAGAAAUCAUUUUUGGUGUUUUAUUCUUCAAAAAACCAAAGUUUUGCUCAAGUAAUUGUUUCAGAUUUGCUCAUGAACGGAGGUUGAAGAUGAUGAACAAUAAUAUGAUGUAUAUUUAUCUGUGUUCAUCACAUAUCUGAUGUAUGUGUUUCAGCCUCCAUAAAUCGAAGUAUAUGUGUGUGUUCAUCAUCUUUGUUUGUAGAUCUUCAUCAUGUUCAUCUUCUUCCCAGAUCUGAGAUUUUGGUUUUUGGAACGAUUUUCAGAGAUCAGUUAGUGUGUUCAUGAUUUUGGAACAACACUCAUACACUUCUCUCUUCUUUCCUUUCUGUAGUCGAUUUUGGAACAACACAUACUAUCUUUCACUCCCUUCGUACACCAUCAUCUGAAAAUCAUAAACCCAAGAACUCGAUUUUAAUGGUGGCUUGGAGGUUAAAGACGAUGAAUAGUGAUCUGAUGUGUAUGUAUGUGUGUUUAUAUAUUUAUUUUUGUAUGUGUUCUUGAAUCUGGAAUAUAUUUGAUGUGUUAAUCUUUGUUUUAUGAAAA
This is a non-coding RNA of Lactuca sativa (garden lettuce), 1474 nucleotides long. The record is from RefSeq and is a predicted model, not a curated record. Lineage: Eukaryota; Viridiplantae; Streptophyta; Magnoliopsida; Asterales; Asteraceae.